UACGUAGGGGUGCGAGCGUUGUCCGGAAUUAUUGGGCGUAAAGAGCUUGUAGGCGGUCUGUCGCGUCUGCUGUGAAAAUCCGGGGCUCAACCCCGGACUUGCAGUGGGUACGGGCAGACUAGAGUGUGGUAGGGGAGACUGGAAUUCCUGGUGUAGCGGUGAAAUGCGCAGAUAUCAGGAGGAACACCGAUGGCGAAGGCAGGUCUCUGGGCCACUACUGACGCUGAGAAGCGAAAGCAUGGGGAGCGAACAGG
This 254-nucleotide ribosomal RNA is filed under the name uncultured bacterium. RNAcentral describes it as "partial 16S ribosomal RNA". It matches the Rfam family "Bacterial small subunit ribosomal RNA", at positions 524 to 776 of the family's 1533-position model. The record is from RNAcentral.